RNAcentral lists this ribosomal RNA (380 nucleotides) under uncultured Gigaspora. RNAcentral describes it as "bacterial SSU rRNA". It matches the Rfam family "Eukaryotic small subunit ribosomal RNA", at positions 328 to 718 of the family's 1831-position model. Lineage: Eukaryota; Fungi; Glomeromycota; Glomeromycetes; Diversisporales; Gigasporaceae. The record is from RNAcentral.
GUUACCUUCUAGUUAUCUUCUACAGUAGUGAUGACGUUCAAUAGGGUUCGAUUCCGGAGAGGGAGCCUGAGAAGGGCUGCCCAUCCAAGGAAGGCAGCAGGCGCGCAAAAACCAAUCCAAACACGGGGAGGUAGUGACAAUAUGUAACAAUAUACGGCCUUAUACGUCGUAUAAUUGGAAUGAGUACUCCCCAAUCCCUUAACGAGGAACAAUUGGAGGGCAAGUCUGGUGCCCCCACCCGCGGUAAUUCCCCCUCCAUAGCGUAUAUUAAAGUUGUUGCAGUUAAAAACUCGUAUUGGACCUUGGACCUGGAGGGCGGUCCCCUCCCGAAAUAUGUCUGGUGUCUUCCCCCAGUAUAUGUUCUCAGGGAAGCGACAUGA